Molecule: ribosomal RNA, 492 nt
Filed under: uncultured bacterium
Lineage: Bacteria
Description: partial 16S ribosomal RNA
Rfam family: Bacterial small subunit ribosomal RNA
Source: RNAcentral
AGUGAACGCUGGCGGUAGGCCUAACACAUGCAAGUCGAACGGCAGCACAGUAAGAGCUUGCUCUUACGGGUGGCGGGUGGCGGACGGGUGAGGAAUACAUCGGAAUCUACUUUUUCGUGGGGGAUAACGUAGGGAAACUUACGCUAAUACCGCAUACGACCUACGGGUGAAAGCAGGGGAUCUUCGGACCUUGCGCGAUUGAAUGAGCCGAUGUCGGAUUAGCUAGUUGGCGGGGUAAAGGCCCACCAAGGCGACGAUCCGUAGCUGGUCUGAGAGGAUGAUCAGCCACACUGGAACUGAGACACGGUCCAGACUCCUACGGGAGGCAGCAGUGGGGAAUAUUGGACAAUGGGCGCAAGCCUGAUCCAGCCAUACCGCGUGGGUGAAGAAGGCCUUCGGGUUGUAAAGCCCUUUUGCUGGGAAAGAAAAGCAGCAGGUUAAUACCCCGCUGUUCUGACGGUACCCAAAGAAUAAGCACCGGCUAACUUCGUG